AUCAACUGGCUAUUUUGCAUAUACGUUACCAACAAGAUGUUUUAUUUGCAGUUUUGCACUUGGCAACUACUCGUAUAAUGACGUAUUUUGAUUUCGCCAAAGCAAAUUGUUCUGACAUUAUUGGCAAUUUCACUAAGAACGAAAACAAGAUCAGUACUCUUUAAGAUCUGGCCUUGCAUAAUCAUCGAGCUUCAUCUUUUAAGCCUUAAAUUUCUUGAUCAAACCCCAAUAUUAUUAGAAGGGUCAUUUCAAAUAAUUGAUCACAAAGCUGUUAGCUCCAAGGCUGGUUAGAUAAUCUGAUACAAACUUAAUGGUACAAACGUUAACCACAAUUCUUGUUGUCUAAAACUCUUCUCUUACAACAAAUUGUUGUAGGAUUCUUCGUGUAUUUAUCUCUCGAAAUUCUAUGGUGAAGAAAAUAACGCUAUUAUCAAGAAUUUUAUUGCUAUCAUUGGGCUACUUUGGAAUUUUUUAGCGUUAGUUCACAUCACAUGGAUAUAUAAGUGACAUUUCGUAAAAUAUCAACGCUAGAUAUGUCUAGAGUGUCACAAGAGACAAGUAAUGUGACUGAUAUUGUGAUGCGAUACAUUUUGGUACUUUUGCAAAGGAGCUAGCUUUACUCUUGAUGGCUCAACAUUUGAAAUGAAAGAAUGAAAGUUUGUCAAGGAAACUUGGGUGAGGGAGGCUUGAGCCCCCGAGCCCCUCAACAGCUGGUGCUUCGUUUUUUGGAUCUUCUUUCAAUUCUUAAAUCUAGCAAAAUGGAUUUGAUAUACAGUGUGGGAUGUGCAUUUCAAUUUGUUCCCACUUUUAAAGAAAUCAUGCCUAUUUGUUUAACACAGAAAAUUGUUCUUGUAUCUUUUCAUCGCUUCGCGCUAGGGUCUCAACUUGAGCCAGUGUAUAUGUAAAUUGACUAGCUGGCUUUAUAAACAAAAAAUAGGGAAUCAACAAAACAAACAUUGUUUAGAUGUUUUUCCUACAUCUCUUUACAAGGGAUCAUGGUCAUUAGCACUAUUGAGCCAAUUUUCCCUUAAAAGAUGAUUUCACUGCUAUCGUCAUAUCAUGUGGUCUUAAAUUAUAGUUAAAUUUAUUUACCGUAAUUUUUUUGAGAUUAUUACAAUCUUCCCUAGAUAAUCUUACAAUCAAUUCUAAUCUUGAAUUGAUGUUUUGCGAUUUCUUAACAUUUCUAGCUAUUGGAUAACAAACGAUCAUUUGCUUUUCAUCAUGAUAAAACCAAAGAGUGAUACGAUAAAAAGAUUUCAAGCAGUUCACAAGACAUAGCUAAAGUACUUAUAAAUAUCUUUAUUCCUACAAAUUUUGAUUAGAUAAGAGAAAAUACAACAUGUUUGUUGUCGUUCAUCUGUGUUCUCCUAGCUCUAGAAAAUUAAUCAUUUUUGAAACCAUCUUCUCUCCAAGUCAGCUGAUAACUAAUGGUAUUCUAUGCCUUCUGAUUACAGGACUGUUCAUUCAAGUUUGCCAAACAGGCAUAUAUGUAUUAAAAAUCAAACACAAACUGAAGUGACAUUUCACAAACGUCUUUCAAGUUACCCUCGUAUGCAGUCAAUACAUGGGAGAUGUAUCAAUUAGAGAGGACACUUUUCAUAGGUCGAAAGCAAGUUGAAGGAAAGUGCUCGAUGAUCAAUCCACGCCUUUACGAAUAACAGACAUAGAGAGGCAACCAGUUAACAGAGCCCACAUCAACAGAAUCAGUUAAAGUAAGCUGUUCUCGCAUAUUUCUGCUUUAUAUAUUGUCUUACUUUUGACACCCUGUCCCAGAAAUUUGAUUUCCUGUCGCAUGAUUUUAAUCGGAAAAGGAUGCCCUGUCCCGCGGCACAUCCCGCGAGGUCAAUAAUUGGAGUGCCCCCGGUCCACGCCCUUAUGAAAUAACAAACAGGGCGAUCAGUUAGCAAAAACCACUAAUAUCAGACAUCACUGUUGCACAUAAAAAUGCCACCAGACGAUCAUCCUAUUAGCCAUUCGCGAGACGUUUAAAGCUGGAAAAAUCAAACUGCUUUUGAAGUGCACUGUGGCACUUUACGUCAUAUCCCGCUCCAUAAGGCAUUCUAAAGGUUUAAGAUCUUGUACUAUAGCAGGAAGCAUGUUUGCCAAGCGGAUGGCAAUUGGUACUGUAUCGCUUAUUCUUGCAAUCAUUCUUAAUUAGAUCUCGUAGAUAUCAAUAAAAUAGAACUCAGGUUGCCAGCAUUGAAUCACAGAUACCACAAACCUAAACGUCAAAACCAAAAUCUCAGGUCACUUGUUAUUUACUUUCGUUGUUGCCUAGCGACUGCAUUAACAUUGCUCACACUCUCACCGCCAAUUUGCCCGUGCAACUUAAACUUUAAAUGUGCAUUGAAAAUAUUAAAAAUUCAUAGAUUUCGUCCUCACCAAGAACGUAUAUUCUCAGCCACAAUUGUUAUUCUACUGAGGUCACAGUGUUUGGUUGAAUAGCUACGAUGAAUACAUGGUUAUGAUGAUUAUGAUUUCGAUAAGCCUAUAAUCUUGAUGAUUAUUCUUAUCAUGAUUAUGAUGAUGGUGGGAAUAACGAUGACUUAUAUAUGAAUGUUUUUAUGCGGAAUGACGACAGCGAUCUCUGCUUUCUAGCUUUCUUUGCAUAAGUGCUCUAGAAUACCUUAAAAUCACAGUGAUGAUGAUGCAAUAGCGUCAAAUAUUGGUAGGUAUAUAUCGAUCUGAUUCAUCAAUUUAACUGCAUCAGCACUAAUGUGCUUUCUAAAUGAAUGUCGUACUGGCCAUCCUUUAACAAAAUUGUCGAGAACUCCAUGAAUUGCUCAUACGGAAGUUGUUAGUAUCAUGGAGAUUUUCAAGCCAGUCUACAUAACAAAACAUAACAUAUUGUGACGGAAUUUCGGUUGACAAUUUUCUUCCACUGACGCGAGUAAAGAAAGAAGAGCUGACGAUAAGAUGGACGCAUGAUAUUAGGUUAUUUGCAAAAUUCGUUGCUUGGCUUCUCUAAGCUUUAUAAAUCCAAUCCCAUUUAGGGAUAGAUAGCAUGCAAAAUAGCGUCUGACUCGAUCAAGGAUGAUAACACCGCUUAAAGAACUACAUACAUAUUCAAAAAUGAUCAUAAAUACGGUUUUAAAGAUCGCCCGGCAGGCGUAGAAGUGAAACCUACCCUUU
Long non-coding RNA from Rhopilema esculentum, 3132 nucleotides. RefSeq lists it as uncharacterized. The record is from RefSeq and is a predicted model, not a curated record. NCBI's taxonomy places the organism in Eukaryota, Metazoa, Cnidaria, Scyphozoa, Rhizostomeae, Rhizostomatidae.